UGGGGUGUGGGGAGGAGUUAUGUUGGGGGUUUCUUUGUUCUUUUUUGGGGGAGAGCUUCUGUUCUGGCUGAAUGUGUAAUCUUGGCCCCAGCUGUUUUGUGGACCAAGAGUCCGGGGGUGACUUGCCUGUUUUUCACCAACCCCCACAGCAGUACAGAGACCAAGCUAUUUUUUCUUCAGGAAGCAGCAUGGUGUAGGGGAUAGAGUAUGGGCCUGAAAGUCAGAAGGACCUG
Long non-coding RNA from Ornithorhynchus anatinus (platypus), 233 nucleotides. RefSeq lists it as uncharacterized. The record is from RefSeq and is a predicted model, not a curated record. The transcript is spliced from 3 exons. Lineage: Eukaryota; Metazoa; Chordata; Mammalia; Monotremata; Ornithorhynchidae.